GCCCUUAUAGCUCAGGGGUAGAGCGUUGCACUUGUAUAGCCUGCAUGGCAUGCAAAGGUCGGUGGUUCAAAUCCGCCUGGGGGCA
This 85-nucleotide transfer RNA is filed under the name Ilyonectria robusta. RNAcentral's name for it is "tRNA-Thr". It matches the Rfam family "tRNA". From Rfam's summary of the family: Transfer RNA (tRNA) molecules are approximately 80 nucleotides in length. The record is from RNAcentral. RNAcentral also lists the same sequence under 1 other name. Lineage: Eukaryota; Fungi; Ascomycota; Sordariomycetes; Hypocreales; Nectriaceae.